This 2908-nucleotide ribosomal RNA is filed under the name Bacillus cereus AH820. RNAcentral's name for it is "bacterial LSU rRNA". It matches the Rfam family "Bacterial large subunit ribosomal RNA". The record is from RNAcentral. Lineage: Bacteria; Bacillati; Bacillota; Bacilli; Caryophanales; Bacillaceae.
GGGCGCACGGUGGAUGCCUUGACACUAGGAGUCGAUGAAGGACGGGACUAACGCCGAUAUGCUUCGGGGAGCUGUAAGUAAGCUUUGAUCCGAAGAUUUCCGAAUGGGGAAACCCACCAUACGUAAUGGUAUGGUAUCCUUAUCUGAAUACAUAGGAUAAGGAAGACAGACCCAGGGAACUGAAACAUCUAAGUACCUGGAGGAAGAGAAAGCAAAUGCGAUUUCCUGAGUAGCGGCGAGCGAAACGGAACAUAGCCCAAACCAAGAGGCUUGCCUCUUGGGGUUGUAGGACAUUCUAUACGGAGUUACAAAGGAACGAGGUAGACGAAGCGACCUGGAAAGGUCCGUCGUAGAGGGUAACAACCCCGUAGUCGAAACUUCGUUCUCUCUUGAAUGUAUCCUGAGUACGGCGGAACACGUGAAAUUCCGUCGGAAUCUGGGAGGACCAUCUCCCAAGGCUAAAUACUCCCUAGUGAUCGAUAGUGAACCAGUACCGUGAGGGAAAGGUGAAAAGCACCCCGGAAGGGGAGUGAAAGAGAUCCUGAAACCGUGUGCCUACAAAUAGUCAGAGCCCGUUAACGGGUGAUGGCGUGCCUUUUGUAGAAUGAACCGGCGAGUUACGAUCCCGUGCGAGGUUAAGCUGAAGAGGCGGAGCCGCAGCGAAAGCGAGUCUGAAUAGGGCGUUUAGUACGUGGUCGUAGACCCGAAACCAGGUGAUCUACCCAUGUCCAGGGUGAAGUUCAGGUAACACUGAAUGGAGGCCCGAACCCACGCACGUUGAAAAGUGCGGGGAUGAGGUGUGGGUAGCGGAGAAAUUCCAAUCGAACCUGGAGAUAGCUGGUUCUCCCCGAAAUAGCUUUAGGGCUAGCCUUAAGUGUAAGAGUCUUGGAGGUAGAGCACUGAUUGGACUAGGGGUCCUCAUCGGAUUACCGAAUUCAGUCAAACUCCGAAUGCCAAUGACUUAUCCUUAGGAGUCAGACUGCGAGUGAUAAGAUCCGUAGUCAAAAGGGAAACAGCCCAGACCGCCAGCUAAGGUCCCAAAGUGUGUAUUAAGUGGAAAAGGAUGUGGAGUUGCUUAGACAACUAGGAUGUUGGCUUAGAAGCAGCCACCAUUUAAAGAGUGCGUAAUAGCUCACUAGUCGAGUGACUCUGCGCCGAAAAUGUACCGGGGCUAAAUACACCACCGAAGCUGCGGAUUGAUACCAAUGGUAUCAGUGGUAGGGGAGCGUUCUAAGGACAGUGAAGUCAGACCGGAAGGACUGGUGGAGUGCUUAGAAGUGAGAAUGCCGGUAUGAGUAGCGAAAGACGGGUGAGAAUCCCGUCCACCGAAUGCCUAAGGUUUCCUGAGGAAGGCUCGUCCGCUCAGGGUUAGUCAGGACCUAAGCCGAGGCCGACAGGCGUAGGCGAUGGACAACAGGUUGAUAUUCCUGUACCACCUCUUUAUCGUUUGAGCAAUGGAGGGACGCAGAAGGAUAGAAGAAGCGUGCGAUUGGUUGUGCACGUCCAAGCAGUUAGGCUGAUAAGUAGGCAAAUCCGCUUAUCGUAAAGGCUGAGCUGUGAUGGGGAAGCUCCUUAUGGAGCGAAGUCUUUGAUUCCCCGCUGCCAAGAAAAGCUUCUAGCGAGAUAAAAGGUGCCUGUACCGCAAACCGACACAGGUAGGCGAGGAGAGAAUCCUAAGGUGUGCGAGAGAACUCUGGUUAAGGAACUCGGCAAAAUGACCCCGUAACUUCGGGAGAAGGGGUGCUUUCUUAACGGAAAGCCGCAGUGAAUAGGCCCAAGCGACUGUUUAGCAAAAACACAGCUCUCUGCGAAGCCGUAAGGCGAAGUAUAGGGGGUGACACCUGCCCGGUGCUGGAAGGUUAAGGAGAGGGGUUAGCGUAAGCGAAGCUCUGAACUGAAGCCCCAGUAAACGGCGGCCGUAACUAUAACGGUCCUAAGGUAGCGAAAUUCCUUGUCGGGUAAGUUCCGACCCGCACGAAAGGUGUAACGAUUUGGGCACUGUCUCAACCAGAGACUCGGUGAAAUUAUAGUACCUGUGAAGAUGCAGGUUACCCGCGACAGGACGGAAAGACCCCGUGGAGCUUUACUGUAGCCUGAUAUUGAAUUUUGGUACAGUUUGUACAGGAUAGGCGGGAGCCUUUGAAACCGGAGCGCUAGCUUCGGUGGAGGCGCUGGUGGGAUACCGCCCUGACUGUAUUGAAAUUCUAACCUACGGGUCUUAUCGACCCGGGAGACAGUGUCAGGUGGGCAGUUUGACUGGGGCGGUCGCCUCCUAAAGUGUAACGGAGGCGCCCAAAGGUUCCCUCAGAAUGGUUGGAAAUCAUUCGUAGAGUGCAAAGGCAUAAGGGAGCUUGACUGCGAGACCUACAAGUCGAGCAGGGACGAAAGUCGGGCUUAGUGAUCCGGUGGUUCCGCAUGGAAGGGCCAUCGCUCAACGGAUAAAAGCUACCCCGGGGAUAACAGGCUUAUCUCCCCCAAGAGUCCACAUCGACGGGGAGGUUUGGCACCUCGAUGUCGGCUCAUCGCAUCCUGGGGCUGUAGUCGGUCCCAAGGGUUGGGCUGUUCGCCCAUUAAAGCGGUACGCGAGCUGGGUUCAGAACGUCGUGAGACAGUUCGGUCCCUAUCCGUCGUGGGCGUAGGAAAUUUGAGAGGAGCUGUCCUUAGUACGAGAGGACCGGGAUGGACGCACCGCUGGUGUACCAGUUGUUCUGCCAAGGGCAUAGCUGGGUAGCUAUGUGCGGAAGGGAUAAGUGCUGAAAGCAUCUAAGCAUGAAGCCCCCCUCAAGAUGAGAUUUCCCAUAGCGUAAGCUAGUAAGAUCCCUGAAAGAUGAUCAGGUUGAUAGGUUCGAGGUGGAAGCAUGGUGACAUGUGGAGCUGACGAAUACUAAUAGAUCGAGGACUUAACCAU